RNAcentral lists this ribosomal RNA (433 nucleotides) under uncultured bacterium. RNAcentral describes it as "partial 16S ribosomal RNA". It matches the Rfam family "Bacterial small subunit ribosomal RNA", at positions 29 to 507 of the family's 1533-position model. The record is from RNAcentral.
AACGAACGCUGGCGGCAUGCCUAACACAUGCAAGUCGAACGAGACCUUCGGGUCUAGUGGCGCACGGGUGCGUAACGCGUGGGAACCUGCCCUUAGGUUCGGAAUAACUCCCCGAAAGGGGUGCUAAUACCGGAUAAUGUCCUCGGACCAAAGAUUUAUCGCCUUUGGAUGGGCCCGCGUUGGAUUAGCUAGUUGGUAGGGUAAAAGCCUACCAAGGCGACGAUCCAUAGCUGGUCUGAGAGGAUGAUCAGCCACACUGGGACUGAGACACGGCCCAGACUCCUACGGGAGGCAGCAGUGGGGAAUAUUGGACAAUGGGCGAAAGCCUGAUCCAGCAAUGCCGCGUGAGUGGUGAAGGCCUUAGGGUUGUAAAGCUCUUUUACCCGGGAUGAUAAUGACAGUACCGGGAGAAUAAGCUCCGGCUAACUCCGUG